This 662-nucleotide ribosomal RNA is filed under the name uncultured bacterium. RNAcentral's name for it is "bacterial SSU rRNA". It matches the Rfam family "Bacterial small subunit ribosomal RNA", at positions 1 to 663 of the family's 1533-position model. The record is from RNAcentral.
GGCUUAGAGUUUGAUCAUGGCUCAGGAUGAACGCUGGCGGCGUGCCUAACACAUGCAAGUCGAACGAAGCGCUUUACUUUGAUUUCUUCGGGAUGAAGAGUUUUGUGACUGAGUGGCGGACGGGUGAGUAACGCGUGGGUAACCUGCCUCAUACAGGGGGAUAACAGUUAGAAAUGACUGCUAAUACCGCAUAAGACCACAGCUUCGCAUGGAGCAGUGGUAAAAACUCCGGUGGUAUGAGAUGGACCCGCGUCUGAUUAGCUAGUUGGUAAGGUAAGGGCUUACCAAGGCGACGAUCAGUAGCCGGCCUGAGAGGGUGGGCGGCCACAUUGGGACUGAGACACGGCCCAAACUCCUACGGGAGGCAGCAGUGGGGAAUAUUGCACAAUGGGGGAAACCCUGAUGCAGCGACGCCGCGUGAGCGAAGAAGUAUUUCGGUAUGUAAAGCUCUAUCAGCAGGGAAGAAACUGACGGUACCUGACUAAGAAGCACCGGCUAAAUACGUGCCAGCAGCCGCGGUAAUACGUAUGGUGCAAGCGUUAUCCGGAUUUACUGGGUGUAAAGGGAGCGUAGACGGAUAGGCAAGUCUGGAGUGAAAACCCGGGGCUCAACCCCGGGACUGCUUUGGAAACUGUUUAUCUAGAGUGCUGGAGAGGUAAGUG